GUGCAGUGAUGUAUUGCCAACACAUCAUUCUGAAGAAAAGUGUGGUAACUUCCUGUGACAGCCCA
Pteropus vampyrus (large flying fox) is the source of this 65-nucleotide small nucleolar RNA. Its record names the gene SNORD63. It matches the Rfam family "Small nucleolar RNA SNORD63". Rfam says of the family: snoRNA U63 is found in both humans and mice. U63 is a member of the C/D class of snoRNA which contain C (UGAUGA) and D (CUGA) box motifs. The record is from Ensembl. Lineage: Eukaryota; Metazoa; Chordata; Mammalia; Chiroptera; Pteropodidae.